GAUGAAGAACGCAGCGAAAUGCGAUACGUAAUGUGAAUUGCAGAAUUCAGUGAAUCAUCGAGUCUUUGAACGCACAUUGCGCCCCCUGGUAUUCCGGGGAGCAUGCCUGUUCGAGCGUCAUUACAACCCUCAAGCUCUGCUUGGUGUUGGGCCCCGCCGCCCCGGCGGGCCCUAAAGUCAGUGGCGGUGCCGUCCGGCUCCGAGCGUAGUAAUUUUUCUCGCUUUGGAGGCCCGGGCGCGUGCUCGCCAUCAACCCCCAAUUUUUUUCAGGUUGACCUCGGAUCAGGUAGGGAUACCCGCUGAACUUAAGCAUAUCAAUAAGCGGAGGA
RNAcentral lists this unclassified non-coding RNA (329 nucleotides) under soil metagenome. Its description in RNAcentral is "partial contains 5.8S ribosomal RNA, internal transcribed spacer 2, and large subunit ribosomal RNA". The stretch from base 1 to 120 matches the Rfam family "5.8S ribosomal RNA", at positions 35 to 154 of the family's 154-position model. The record is from RNAcentral.